RNAcentral lists this ribosomal RNA (253 nucleotides) under uncultured bacterium. Its description in RNAcentral is "partial 16S ribosomal RNA". It matches the Rfam family "Bacterial small subunit ribosomal RNA", at positions 524 to 776 of the family's 1533-position model. The record is from RNAcentral.
UACGUAGGGUGCAAGCGUUAAUCGGAAUUACUGGGCGUAAAGCGUGCGCAGGCGGUCCGCAAAGUCUGAUGUGAAAGCCCCGGGCUCAACCUGGGAACUGCAUUGGAAACUAACGGGCUCGAGUGUGGCAGAGGGGGGUGGAAUUCCACGUGUAGCAGUGAAAUGCGUAGAUAUCAGGAGGAACACCGGUGGCGAAGGCGCCUAUCUGGCCCGAUACUGACGCUGAGGAGCGAAAGCGUGGGGAGCGAACAGG